CACAGGUAGCAUGGAGGCAAUGUGAUCCCCUGCAAUGACACAGCACCCAGAGACACACACAGGUAGCAUGGAGGCAAUGUGAUCCCCUGCAAUGACACAGCACCCAGAGACACACACAGGUAGCAUGGAGGCAAUGUGAUCCCCUGCAAUGACACAGCACCCAGAGACACACACAGGUAGCAUGGAGGCAAUGUGAUCCCCUGCAACGACACAGCACCCAGAGACACACACAGGGAGCAUGGAGGCAAUGUGAUCCCCUGCAAUGACACAGCACCCAGAGACACACACAGGGAGCAUGGAGGCAAUGUGAUCCCCUGCAUUGACACAGCACCCAGAGACAUACACAGGGAGCAUGGAGGCAAUGUGAUCCCCUGCAAUGACACAGCACCCAGAGAUACACACAGGUAGCAUGGAGGCAAUGUGGUCCCCUGCAAUGACACAGCACCCAGAGACACAAACAGGUAGCAUGGAGGCAAUGUGGUCCCCUGCAAUGACACAGCACCCAGAGACACACACAGGUAGCAUGGAGGCAAUGUGAUCCCCAGCAAUGACACAGUACCCAGAGACACACACACAGGGAGCAUGGAGGCAAUGUGAUCCCCGGCAAUGACACAGCACCCAGAGACACACACAGGUAGCAUGGAGGCAAUGUGAUCCCCAGCAAUGACACAGUACCCAGAGACACACACACAGGUAGCAUGGAGGCAAUGUGAUCCCCGGCAAUGACACAGCACCCAGAGACACACACAGGUAGCAUGGAGGCAAUGUGAUCCCCUGCAAUGACACAGUACCCAGAGACACACACAGGGAGCAUGGAGGCAAUGUGAUCCCCUGCAAUGACACAGCACCCAGAGAGCAUGGAGGCAAUGUGAUCCCCAGCAAUGACACAGCACCCAGAGACACACACAGGGAGCAUCGAGGCAAUGUGAUCCCCUGCAAUGACACAGCACCCAGAGAUACACACAGGGAGCAUCGAGGCAAUGUGAUCCCCUGCAUUGACACAGCACCCAGAGACAUACACAGGUAGCAAGGAGGCAAUGUGGUCCCCUGCAAUGACACUGUGGCAAACCUAGCCACUUGUAAUACUCUGGACUAUAUGCAUAAAAAGGUUGUCUGUACUAAUCCCUGUAACUUCAUCUAUAACCUAUAUCUACACUGUGUGUUACUGUGUGUUUGUAUAGAAUUUGUAUGCUAGCAGCCGAAAGCCGCUAGCAUUCAUGUGUUUCGUUUCACGAACAGCAACCUUACUGGCUGUUCGUGAACCGAAUGAGCUACCCCCUAAUAGCCCACACAUAGAGGGACAUGUGGCGCUCAUUAACUGAUUGCAACAAUGUUGCAAUCGGUAAUUAGAGACUUUCCUAGGUGGCCGUCGUUCGGCUACCGACCACGCGGCGGUCGGCCAUCUUGGAUCCUUUGUCUCACCAACGGUGUUUGGUCGUCGAGCGCGUGGAACUGAAAACAGCUACUCGACGGCGCGAACACCGCUGGAUUUGCAGGCCGUUCGGGAGCUCCGGUCUUUCGUUAUUGUGGUUCCCUAUCGGUGUUCGGUACUUUUAGGCGAACGCGAUGGCAAAGUGUAUUUCGUGCGGCGUUCGGUUGUUUUAGCUGGGAUCUGAGUGGUACAAAAUGUGCGCUCAGACCCCAGCUAUCUACCGAACGUCCAUUCGUUUAAAUAAACCGAAUAGUGUAAAAGUUAUGUAUUUAAAUGUAAAAUGCCGGUUCUGCUGCACGGAGGGAUAAUCCACUUAACGGUGUAUUCCAGUGGGAGUAUCCCUCUCGUCCAGCAGUGCCUGAUGGGAGAAAUGCCCAGAAUGUUAAGUCCCCCAUGUAGUCCCUACUGUGUUACCCCUGCUAUGUCAGUAAACCCCUUGCAUGGGGACUUGCAUAAAUACUGGAGCUGUGAAUAAAAACCUCAGUUGACUCCCAGAACUGUGUUUCAUCCGGUUACUGGGGGAUUUGGGAUAUUGCCUUACUUUUCAGCGCUUGACUGUGGAUUACCUUCUUUACAAGCGGAGAUCGUGGA
Molecule: non-coding RNA, 2023 nt
Organism: Pelobates cultripes (western spadefoot toad)
Lineage: Eukaryota; Metazoa; Chordata; Amphibia; Anura; Pelobatidae
Source: the annotation of a GenBank genome assembly